UGCACUAGACGCAAGGUCUCUCGAUUAGGAAUUGAAACUGAGGUGACUAUGAUAGUUGCACAGUGCCAAAAACAGAAUGAUAGAUAAGCACAACUGUGACACGGAUCGAAAAUGCCUCGAGUAAAAGAGAUUAAAACCGGAAAGUUGGAUCACAUGAAGAGACAGAACUACUUUAAACCGAGACAAGUUCAGUUUUGUAAGGUGAUUGAAGGACUAGAUACAGAGUACUACCUCAUCAAACUCUUCAGACAUGAUGAUAAGCUUCAUCGCAGGGUGCCAAAAGGUUCUAUUCAGUUCAACAAAGCUGAUGUCUGUGCAGUUCACAUGUGGGAGGCAAAGGAAGAGAAAAAGAAAUUGCUUCGGUCUCAAGUUAUUUUGAAAAAUCAUGUUAUUUUGUUUUUACCUGAACCAGUCGUUUUUCUUGAGAAGAGUAGUGAUGAGUCUCUUGAAGCACUAGAGUUGUUGGAGUGGUACAACUGCUUUGUGAAAGAAUUCAAGCACAGGCACCACUGGGAAGUAGAAGUGCCAGAGAAGGACUACUAUAAACCUGAACAACAGAUUAAACUCAAGACACCAUUUGCAAAGGACAUUUAUAAUGUUAUUAGUGAGAAGACAGCAGAGUUAUCAGCCCAUAAGCAAUCUGAUGUUGUUAAGCCUGUUUCUCCGACAACACCUUUCCCCCCUCAGAGACCAGAUGGCGCAGCGGUGUCAGUGAAAGUAGAGCCACCUGACUGCCCUCCCACCCCUCCCCUAAGGAAGGAUGUAGAGUCUCCGCUUGUGAAUCCAGAUAUAAAUGCUUCCAUUGUCCCACCAAGGCCACCCAGAAGUCCUUUACAUACAAGAAAGGAUGCAAAUCUUGACAAAGAUAUGUCACUGGACAAUUCAGAGGAGGAUUUUAAAAACUUAUCGACUGAAAAUGUUCAUCGUCCUUUGCAGAUGUCUGCCAGCAUUCCUUAUUCUGUAGAAGCUAUACGUCCCCCCUUACCUCCCUUGAGAAGUAACAGUGAUCAAAGUGGCUUAGUGUCCAAUUUCCAAACCAUGCCACCACCUCUUCCGCCAAGGACACCCUGUAAAAAAAGCGACCAGCAGAAAAGUAAACCAUCAGACCUUUCAAGUAGUUAUCAUGAUGUUAAAGCAGGAAAAAAGUGGCAGAAUGUAGUGGUCUCUACAGAAGAAGAGCAAGGGAAGACGAAUGAAAUGAUUUUAAACAUUCCAGUACAAAGUUUUGAUCAAAAUGUCACCAUUCCUUGCAGUCCCAAGACGCCUAGCCCAACUCUGACUGUAAAUCCUAAGGGCUCCAAAAAAGGAUGAUUAUAAAAAUGUGAGAAGACCUCUUCCUGCUCCUCGGACGAAAAAUAAUUCAACUGGAGGAACAUCAGCAUUAGACUCAACAGAUCAAACUUUUAUAAAAUUUGAAGAUUUACAAUCAUUCAACAAUGGUACAGUUCAGUCAUUGAAUUUAGAAAGUGACCAUGCAGAUCAAAUGCUUCAGUUCCAUGAUAUCUCUGCUCAUCAACCUUUGACAGACAGUGACUAUGAUACAGUGGCAUGUGUGCAAUCAAAAGCUUUAUUUCCUUCAGGGCGAAGCCGUUCUUAUUCACUUGAACGUUUAUCAAUCCACAGUGACUCGUCCGACUUGCCUGUUGAGACAAUUUAUGGAAGUGCGGAAGAUUUGUAUGACAUUCAUAAAUUGGAAGAAUUUAGAGAAAAAGUGUUGAGAGGGGAUUUCAGUACACUGUACAGUGGAAUCAAUCGAGACCAACUUAGUAAAGGGCGUGGCAGUGGCAGAAAACACUGGAUGAGAAGUGCACUUGUUCAAAGUGAAUGCAUGUAUGUAAAUGAUGACCUUCAAAGUAAAGAGCCGGCCCCACAACUGCCACCACGAGAUUACCCCCAAGCACGGCCAGGCUAUGCAACUUUGCCUAAUUUGAGACGCAGAGAAGAUAGGAAUACAAUUCUGGAUAUGGAUUACUGGGCUUCAGAGAUCAGUCAAACUCUCCAACUAAUAUUAGAAAAGACCAAUCCUGUGCCAGAUACCCUUCUGAUAUCUUCACUGGUAAAGGAAAGAAUUUGCUUUAAACUUUCUUACAUUCCUGCUUCAACUGACUGGCAUAAUUUUGCGGAGGAGAUAGGUCUUCAUGCAGAUGACAUUGGUAUCAUAGAGAACUUUGCCAGAUUCCACAACGUUUGCCCAGCCAAGAUAGUGCUAAACCACUGGCAGGUGCUAGAAAAUAAUGGUGUGAUUGCCAGUGAUUCCACAAGUAUCAAACACUGUACCAAGCAGUCUCUGUUGGACAUAUUGGAAAAAUUGGAGAGAUUAGAUUUAGUAGAACUUAUUAAGAACCGGGAUAGAAAACAGUAGGAAAAUGGUCAGUCGUUUCUAUAUGCAAGGUGCAUUUUUUUUUUU
Molecule: unclassified non-coding RNA, 2407 nt
Filed under: Lingula anatina
Lineage: Eukaryota; Metazoa; Brachiopoda; Lingulata; Lingulida; Lingulidae
Description: uncharacterized LOC106162724, transcript variant X1
Source: RNAcentral